Long non-coding RNA from Neofelis nebulosa (Clouded leopard), 779 nucleotides. RefSeq lists it as uncharacterized. NCBI's taxonomy places the organism in Eukaryota, Metazoa, Chordata, Mammalia, Carnivora, Felidae. The transcript has 5 exons. The record is from RefSeq and is a predicted model, not a curated record.
UUCAUUAGUGGAAGCUUGAGAAAAUUUAAAGGGGCUGUUCAACUUCCUUCCUUAAAACAUGUCUCUAUUUUUCUUUCUAGGGAACCACAGGAUAUCAGUGCUUCAGAAUGGAAAGGUGACUACUGCAGACUAGAUGCCAAGUUCAUUUGAUCAUUUAGGCAACCUAGACUCCGAGACAACACGACUUGUAUGUCACAAGGUCAAUGUUCCCCCAGAAAAACACAUUCUGGUAUUGUGAGUGCCAUCAUCCAGAUGCAUUUGUGACCUCUUCCACAUCAUUUCUGGGUUGAUCUCUGUUACCAACAGACAAAAGUCUAAGUGACAGUUACAUCAUUUCUGAGAUCAGGUUAUAUAAGAGAACUUCAUGCGCUCUCUCUCACUGCCUACUCUGGAGGAAGCCAGCUUUGAUGGUGAGAGAACAGCCCUAUGGAGAGACCUGUGUAACAAGGAACUGAGGCCUGCCAACAGCCUCAUGAGUGAACCUAGAAGUGGAUCUUCCAGUCCUGGUCAAGUCUUAGAGACUACAAGCCCAAGAAUCUCAUAAUACCCUGAAGCAGAACCACCAGCUAUAGUGGAAAAGGAAAAAGAGUGGGAGAAGAUUCCAGAGGACCGCAGAGAAUCUGGGACUGAACUGAGGAAAGCUUCUGGAGCUAACCCCACCCUGUCAGGCAAAUGAGUACCACUAACAAGCCAUGUGAUGUAAGUGAAUCUUAUAUUGUCACUGCUACUAUUCCAGCCAACAUAUCCAAAGAAUCUCGGGUUGCCAUAAUUAACACGGA